GCCAUGUAAGGAGACGAGGUGGCCCAUGCCCUGAAAAGCCUUGAGCUCCACUAUGCUAAUUUUGGGUCAAAGUCAUUAGCUGCAAUGGAGAAAACGUGGCACUGUGGAUUUGAUGGUUAGGACUCUGUCAGUGAAGGAUACUUAUCUGGGCCCGGGGCUCAGGAAACUCAAAAGGGGAAGCUCCGGUUCCCACAGUGAAUUGCUUGCCAAGCCUUUGGUCAAUCUUGGCAGGCUGCCACCUCUGUCCUGCCCUGGUCUGACCCCUGGAGGCUGUGAGUGCUGGUACCCGCUGAGUGCUAGAUGGCAGGCAUGGCCAGGGGCCAGAGCCAUCUGAGACUUCAGUCAACUCGAGACACAAGAAAGCUUCUGUGAUCUUCGGCACCUGGGGAGAUUCAAAUGCAGGAGGCUCCUGGCAGGACAUGGGCCAUUGGAGUCAGGACCUUCUCUGGAGCCACUGCAGCAGCUUCCUGGCAGUUGUAUAUCCCUAUGCUGCUGCUGCUGCUGCUGCUGCUAAGUCGCUUCAGUUGUGUCUGACUCUAUGCGACCCCAUAGACGGCAGCCCACCAGGCUCCCCCAUCCCUGGGAUUCUCCAGGCAAGAACACUGGAGUGGGUUGCCAUUUCCUUCUCCAAUGCAUGAAAGUGAAAAGUCAAAGUGAAGUCGCUCAGUCGUGUCCGACUCUCAGCGACCCCGUGGACUACAGCCUACCAGGCUCCUCUGUCCAUGGGAUUUUCCAGGCAAGAGUACUAGAGUGGGUUGCCAGUGCCUUCUCUGUAUAUCCCUAUAAUAC
Bos taurus (domestic cattle) is the source of this 789-nucleotide long non-coding RNA. The record is from Ensembl. NCBI's taxonomy places the organism in Eukaryota, Metazoa, Chordata, Mammalia, Artiodactyla, Bovidae.